CGAGUCUGCCUUGAAGAUCGGAGUGCUUGCACUCUGUGAAACAAGAUACAGGCUAGCGGCGGACGGGUGAGUAACACGUGGGUAACCUGCCCAAGAGAUCGGGAUAACACCUGGAAACAGAUGCUAAUACCGGAUAACAACAGAUGAUGCCUAUCAACUGUUUAAAAGAUGGUUCUGCUAUCACUCUUGGAUGGACCUGCGGUGCAUUAGCUAGUUGGUAGGGUAACGGCCUACCAUGGCGAUGAUGCAUAGCCGGGUUGAGAGACUGAUCGGCCACAUUGGGACUGAGACACGGCCCAAACUCCUACGGGAGGCAGCAGUAGGGAAUCUUCCACAAUGGACGCAAGUCUGAUGGAGCAACGCCGCGUGAGUGAAGAAGGGUUUCGGCUCGUAAAGCUCUGUUGUUGGUGAG
RNAcentral lists this ribosomal RNA (412 nucleotides) under uncultured Lactobacillus sp. RNAcentral describes it as "bacterial SSU rRNA". It matches the Rfam family "Bacterial small subunit ribosomal RNA", at positions 58 to 446 of the family's 1533-position model. Lineage: Bacteria; Bacillati; Bacillota; Bacilli; Lactobacillales; Lactobacillaceae. The record is from RNAcentral.